UAUCUACUCCCUCCGUUCAGAAUUACUUGUCUCGGAAAUGGAUGUAUCUAGACGUAUUUUAAUUCUAGAUACAUCCAUUACCGAGACAAGUAAUUUCCAACGGAGGGAGUAUAUA
Molecule: non-coding RNA, 115 nt
Organism: Triticum aestivum (bread wheat)
Lineage: Eukaryota; Viridiplantae; Streptophyta; Magnoliopsida; Poales; Poaceae
Source: Rfam